AGCAGCCGCGGUAAUUCCAGCUCCAAUAGCGUAUAUUAAAGUUGUUGCAGUUAAAAAGCUCGUAGUUGAAUUUCGGGAUCAAUAUUUCGGUCAUGCCGUUGGUAUGCACUGUUAUCAUUGAUUUCUCACCUUCUAAAGAACCGUAAUGCCAUUAAUUUGGUGUUACGGGGAAUUAGGACUGUUACCUUGAAAAAUUAGAGUGUUUAAAGCAGGCUCACGCUUGAAUACAUUAGCAUGGAAUAAUGAAAUAGGACAUCCGAUUCUAUUUUGUUGGUUUCUAGGAUCGAUGUAAUGAUUAAUAGGGAUAGUUGGGGGCAUUAGUAUUCAAUUGUCAGAGGUGAAAUUCUUGGAUUUAUUGAAGACUAACUACUGCGAAAGCAUUUGCCAAGGAUGUUUUCAUUAAUCAAGAACGAAAGUUAGGGGAUCGAAGACGAUCAGAUACCGUCGUAGUCUUAACCAUAAACUAUGCCGAC
RNAcentral lists this ribosomal RNA (473 nucleotides) under uncultured Glomus. RNAcentral's name for it is "SSU rRNA". It matches the Rfam family "Eukaryotic small subunit ribosomal RNA", at positions 569 to 1046 of the family's 1831-position model. The record is from RNAcentral. Lineage: Eukaryota; Fungi; Glomeromycota; Glomeromycetes; Glomerales; Glomeraceae.